RNAcentral lists this ribosomal RNA (605 nucleotides) under Scytalidium lignicola. RNAcentral's name for it is "eukaryotic LSU rRNA". The stretch from base 242 to 395 matches the Rfam family "5.8S ribosomal RNA". The record is from RNAcentral. Lineage: Eukaryota; Fungi; Ascomycota; Leotiomycetes.
CUUGGUCAUUUAGAGGAAGUAAAAGUCGUAACAAGGUCUCCGAUAGGUGAACCUGCGGAGGGAUCAUUACAGAGUUCAUGCCCUCACGGGUAGAUCUCCCACCCUUGUGUAUUCAUACCUUUGUUGCUUUGGCAGGCCGCUGGGCUUCGGCCUGGCCACCGGCUCCCGGGCUGGUGCGCGCCUGCCAGGGGACCUCUAAACUCUGUUUGUCAGUGUCGUCUGAGUAUUAUACAAUCGUUAAAACUUUCAACAACGGAUCUCUUGGUUCUGGCAUCGAUGAAGAACGCAGCGAAAUGCGAUAAGUAAUGUGAAUUGCAGAAUUCAGUGAAUCAUCGAAUCUUUGAACGCACAUUGCGCCCCUUGGUAUUCCGAGGGGCAUGCCUGUUCGAGCGUCAUUUCAACCCUCAAGCUCUGCUUGGUAUUGGGCUACGCCAUCGCGGCAGGCCUUAAAAUUAGUGGCGGUGCCGUCUCGGCUCUAAGCGUAGUAACAAUCUCUCGCUCUGGAGACCUGGCGGUGCUUGCCAGACAACCACCAAUUUUUUUAUGGUUGACCUCGGAUCAGGUAGGGAUACCCGCUGAACUUAAGCAUAUCAAUAAGCGGAGGA